CCUCAAGGUGACUUAGGGAGGCAUCAGCCACACCCCAGCCUGGGCAGCCUCAGCUAAGAGUCAUCAUGUGUGGAUACACCAAGGCUGCUACCACCCUGGCAUGUCCGUCUGCUGACCACUUGGCACCCAGUCUUGGUAGCUUUGAGUCAUUCCCAGGCAGCUUGUCAGGGAGAUGUCUGGUGGCUGCGGAGGCACAUCAGGUGGAGGACACAGAAACACUUCCAGAACCAGACCCUCCCUUGGGUAGAAGGGCAAGAGCCCUUUGUAAAGGAGGCACAGAACUGUGGCAGGCAGCAGCUGGUUACUGGAGCAGCCGAAUUGUGUGAUGUUUUCAUUUAGGCAUGUAUCAUUUAAAAGGGAAAUUAUUUUCCUAAGUGCUACUCCGCUGGUUUUUAUAAAGCAAAUCUCACACUGAGCAGUGGUCUUCUCUGACAGUCAGGAAAACUUAGACGAGUUGGUGCUAUGGAAAGUCCGCUUUUCCAAUGCCACGGGAACUACACUGGCCUCAGCAUCUUCACGUGGUGACAGAUUUGUCUGCUUACAGUGACCCCAUGGCCACUGUCAUCCUGUGAGGGACACAGCAGCCCAGAUGAAAGGGCUGGAAUGCCAGUAACUCACAGCACUUUGCGGUCAACCUUAAAAUAGUUACCUUGAAAUAAAACCAUCUGGAAACGUCAAAAAGCUUCAGUUGUCC
This 694-nucleotide long non-coding RNA is filed under the name Chinchilla lanigera (long-tailed chinchilla). RNAcentral describes it as "lncRNA (ENSCLAG00000023590.1)". Lineage: Eukaryota; Metazoa; Chordata; Mammalia; Rodentia; Chinchillidae. The record is from RNAcentral.